AGCAGUAGCCGCGGUAAUACAGAGGGUGCAAGCGUUAAUCGGAUUUACUGGGCGUAAAGCGUGCGUAGGCGGCUUCUUAAGUCGGAUGUGAAAUCCCUGAGCUUAACUUAGGAAUUGCAUUCGAUACUGGGAAGCUAGAGUAUGGGAGAGGAUGGUAGAAUUCCAGGUGUAGCGGUGAAAUGCGUAGAGAUCUGGAGGAAUACCGAUGGCGAAGGCAGCCAUCUGGCCUAAUACUGACGCUGAGGUACGAAAGCAUGGGGAGCAAACAGGAUUAGAUACCCCAGUAGUCCCUGUCUCUUAUAA
This 303-nucleotide ribosomal RNA is filed under the name uncultured bacterium. RNAcentral describes it as "partial 16S ribosomal RNA". It matches the Rfam family "Bacterial small subunit ribosomal RNA", at positions 507 to 809 of the family's 1533-position model. The record is from RNAcentral.